This 253-nucleotide ribosomal RNA is filed under the name uncultured bacterium. RNAcentral describes it as "partial 16S ribosomal RNA". It matches the Rfam family "Bacterial small subunit ribosomal RNA", at positions 524 to 776 of the family's 1533-position model. The record is from RNAcentral.
UACGGAGGGUGCGAGCGUUGUCCGGAAUCACUGGGCGUAAAGGGCGCGUAGGCGGCCUGAUAAGUAGGGGGUGAAAUCCUGCGGCUUAACCGCAGGGCUGCCUUCUAAACUGUCAGGCUAGAGCACAGUAGAGGUAGCUGGAAUUCCCGGUGUAGCGGUGAAAUGCGUAGAUAUCGGGAGGAAUACCUAUGGCGAAAGCAGGCUACUGGACCGUCACUGACUCUGACCUGCGAAAGCUAGGGGAGCAAACAGG